GAGAGCUUGCUCUCAUGAAAGUGGCGCACGGGUGAGUAACACGUGGAUAAUCUGCCUGGCGAUUCGGGAUAACACUUCGAAAGGGGUGCUAAUACCGGAUAAGCCCACGGACUCUUCGGAGUUUGCGGGAAAAGGGGGCCUCUGUAUAUGCUCCUGUCGCUAGAUGAGUCCGCGGCCCAUUAGCUAGUUGGUAGGGUAAUGGCCUACCAAGGCUACGAUGGGUAGCUGGUCUGAGAGGAUGAUCAGCCACACUGGAACUGARACACGGUCCAGACUCCUACGGGAGGCAGCAGUGGGGAAUUUUGCGCAAUGGGCGAAAGCCUGACGCAGCAACGCCGCGUGAGUGAUGAAGGCCUUCGGGUCGUAAAGCUCUGUCAGCGGGGAAGAACCGCCGGGUGGUUAAUACCUGCCUGGUCUGACGGUACCCACAAAGGAAGCACCGGCUAACUCCGUGCCAGCAGCCGCGGUAAUAC
Molecule: ribosomal RNA, 473 nt
Filed under: uncultured Geobacter sp.
Lineage: Bacteria; Pseudomonadati; Thermodesulfobacteriota; Desulfuromonadia; Geobacterales; Geobacteraceae
Also listed under: 1 other name
Description: bacterial SSU rRNA
Rfam family: Bacterial small subunit ribosomal RNA
Source: RNAcentral